RNAcentral lists this transfer RNA (75 nucleotides) under Planctomycetota bacterium. RNAcentral describes it as "tRNA-Lys". It matches the Rfam family "tRNA". From Rfam's summary of the family: Transfer RNA (tRNA) molecules are approximately 80 nucleotides in length. Their secondary structure includes four short double-helical elements and three loops (D, anti-codon, and T loops). The record is from RNAcentral. Lineage: Bacteria; Pseudomonadati; Planctomycetota.
GGGGGCGUAGCUCAGCGGUAGAGCAGCGGCCUUUUAAGCCGUUGGUCGUAGGUUCGACCCCUACCGCCCUCACCA